CAGCAGCCGCGGGAAUACAGAGGGUGCGAGCGUUAAUCGGAUUUACUGGGCGUAAAGCGCGCGUAGGUGGUUCGCCAAGUUGGAUGUGAAAUCCCCGGGCUCAACCUGGGAACUGCAUCCAAAACUGGCGAGCUAGAGUAUGGUAGAGGGUGGUGGAAUUUCCUGUGUAGCGGUGAAAUGCGUAGAUAUAGGAAGGAACAUCAGUGGCGAAGGCGACCACCUGGACUGAUACUGACACUGAGGUGCGAAAGCGUGGGGAGCAAACAGGAUUAGAUACCCCCGUAGUCCCUGUCUCUUAUAC
RNAcentral lists this ribosomal RNA (301 nucleotides) under uncultured bacterium. Its description in RNAcentral is "partial 16S ribosomal RNA". It matches the Rfam family "Bacterial small subunit ribosomal RNA", at positions 509 to 807 of the family's 1533-position model. The record is from RNAcentral.